GCAGUAUCUCCUGUUUCCGAGCUGAGACCAGCAGCCUCUGCCUGACUUAUUGGAGGAGCAAGAGGAUCCCAGUUUCCCCGCUAACACGCAGCUGUCACAUCUAGUUGCAGACAGCCACUUCUUCCCAGCUGUUUUCCUGCUCGGGCAAGAAGGCACCCUAUUCCAAAAGCGAGUCGGCUGGAGGAGGAGUCUACGUGGUGCUUGCUGCAGGUCAAUUUUGUUUGGAAAUGAAUGUUAAGAAAAGCAUUGACUGGUAAGCGACCACAUCUCUGUGUUUGCUCAUUUUGUUCAGUGUAUAUUCUACAUUUUUUCUAGCUUUGCAGUUCUCAAGUGAAGUCACUAAGAAAUAGUACAUACCUAUAGGUUUGCUAAGGAAUAUUUAAAAAAAUCAAACCAUGUAUUCUCAAAAAUGGUAACAAAACAUAUUUAAGUAAUUUCAUCACAACAUGUUUUUAUUUUUUUUUCUGACAGUUAAUUUGAAAAUCAUAGAGGAUUUGGAGGAUUUAAUAUAAUAAGAGAAGCAUGCAUUUUUGUUAUUCAUGAGUUAUAAGGGUUGAAAUAGCUGUUAUUACGAAGUAGGAGGUUUUACAGUAAUGAAGAGCAUUCCAGAUGUGUUUCCUAUAGAAUACAUUAGAUCUUUUGUGAAAGGUUUCAUGGACUUAAAUAAAGGGGCUACAAAUCUCUGAAACACAAGGAUCUACUUUUUACCUUGUGAAUUGCAUCAGAUGGUUUGUUCAAGAGACAAAUUUUAUGGUGUUUGAACCUGUUCUUUUUGUAGGAAAACAGUUUUAUAUACAAGGUAUCCGUGCGUGAAGUAACAGUGCAAGGGCGGUUUUGUAGGUCGUAACGUGGGGAUUCAGAAAAGACUACGCAUGUGUUUCCAUUUGUUUUCUUCAUUUAAGUAGUGUAAAAUUAUGUUUUUAAAUAUAUCUCAUGCUAGUCAAACAGGAGCUGCUUCUAGGGUUAACUGAUGAAAGUCAAUUGCAUACCAUUAACUCUGAUUGUUAAUAUGCUAUGGUGAUAAUAUUUUUUCCCAUAUCAUUCCCUUACACAUUCAGUUUGUGAGAGGACCUCAUCUGGUAGCACCCCAGAUCAAUAAGAGAAUGUAAAGGAAUUCCAAGCUAAAUAGUAAGAUUCAGUAUAGAACAGACUGAAAGAAUUGGCUAGUGAGCUUUGUAAAUAAUUUGUGGAAACCUUGAAAGAUUGGAAUUGAGGAAAGUGGUAUAUGAUGUAAUGAAACAAAUAACUAGAAAAAUACAAGAGUAGCAAAACUUCAGUUUGUAAAAUGGGAAUUAAAAACAUCUGGUUUAAUAUGCAUUCAUCUAUUUUAUGAUUGAUUUCCUUAAAAUAUGCAAGGCAGGUUUAAAUUCAUCACUAAACAUAUUCAGCAUAUUUGUUUCUUUUUCCUUAAUUGGACACUUCCAAUGGCACUCAUAUUUAUGAGAACUGCAAUGUAGGAUAUUGUAAAAGGACAUAAAGGAAACCUUAACAAUUACUUUUAAUGCAACUACUAAUGAAUAUAUCUAUAAAAUACCCCACAUUUAAGGCUCAGAAAUCAUUGCAGAAGAGGUGCAUAAAAGGUUGUAAAAGCUAGAGGACCAGGAAGUUUUCUGUGAGAUUAUUUUUCUUAGUAUAUUUGAAGUUAACUCCGUAAGAUCUUACCAAUAUGACUGUCCAAUCAUGAAUUGAACAUGGACAUGCCAAACUAGGCCUGGAAAAGCUUAAAAGACCUCAACUCUACACAAAGAAAUAUGUGUCAGCUGUCAGUUAAGGAAAACUUGUUGCGGGAGAGGUGGUCUAUCCUAGGGCAAGCAUAUCAACCAGGUUCUCCAGUGUCAAAAGGUCAGCCCUAAAAUCAUAUAUACAAAUAACAUUUUAUGGACUGAAGAGAUUGUAUUAGAUACAUGCACACACAGAGAAACACACACAAUUAUACUUAGUGAAAUAAGAAAACGGUGAUUUUUGGACAAGAGUGAGGAAUUGGAAGUGGGAAGUUUUGUUAUAGACCUUGAAACUGACUUGAAGCCUUGAAAUUGAGUGCUGAAUCCUCUAUUCACAACAAGUGUUAUUGCUGCUAUUCCUGUGUUUAACUUAAGAUAAUAUAAGAUAAUGAAAUAUACAAAUGUCAACCUCCUGUAAAGAAAAAAUACUGACUUAGCUGUGAUAUUACAUCAGGCACAUAAAAAUAGAUCCACACACAUAACUCCAGUACUCCAUGUAAGUGUAUGAAAAAGCACAGGCACUUUCUUGUACAUAUGGCUAUUUUUUAAAACAAAUGAAAUGUGAUAUUUAGUACAUAGAAAAUAAUGUCUUGAUAUCAUUACUAGGAACUCAUGAUAGGUAUAAGCACCUUUUUAUUUGGGUCCAAAUAUAAAGUGAAAGUUACAGUAAAUUGAAAUGGAGCAAUUUUAAAAUGAGUCACAGUGAGUGAAAAAUUGGGAUUCUCUCAUUAAAACACUCUAAUUCCUUUAAGUGUUCUUGCAUAGCUCUAAGUGUACCUAUUGACUUUCCAACAUAAUAAAAUAACAAUUGGCCAUACCCCAAACAAUAUCAGGAAGAUAGAUUUCACAAGAUUUUAGUCUCAUCAAGUAAUUAGUUAAACAGAAUUCAUUAAAUCCUACUAAACAUGACUUUAUAAAAAGCAUUUUGUUAAUAAAAUCUUGUAUCAUUUUCUAUUAACUUUUACCAUUUAACUUUUUCUCAAAGGCAGCUCGUUGUUAAUAUGCAGCCUAUCAUCUCAGUUGUCUUUUAAUUCUCCUAAUGUACCAGUUUCACUUGGGUUUUAUGCUCCGAUAUUUAUUCUCUCUCUUUCCCCAUAAUGUUGGUAGUAUUAGAUACAUUUUCAUAACCCUAAAGUUUUUCUAUCUAAUCCUACUUGGGAGAAAUUGCAUCCUACACAAUCUCACGUUGUAGUGGUAUUAUCUACAUAAAACUUCUCAUGUUCUAUCUUUUCACAGUUGCAAUUGGAUACUAAAUACCUCCCCACACACAUAUGCACUAAUCUGCCACAAAACACAGCCCAAAGUAAAGUCCCAAUUAAUUUAAUCAGUGAUAUGAAAUCUAAUUAAAAGUACGUCUAGCCACCCAUAACUGUAAGAGAUGCAACUUGCUUCACUGUGUAUUCCCAGAGUCUAAGGUAAAAGAUAUUUACAUAAUCUCAAAUUAUCUUCCCACAAGAUGCAGAUCACUUCAAAGGAGACUACAAUAGCUUUAGACCAGAAAACUCAAAAGAUUAUGGUAUCUCUGC
Molecule: long non-coding RNA, 3247 nt
Filed under: Mus pahari (shrew mouse)
Lineage: Eukaryota; Metazoa; Chordata; Mammalia; Rodentia; Muridae
Description: lncRNA (MGP_PahariEiJ_G0004138.1)
Source: RNAcentral